CGGAGGGGGUGGCUGGCCCCAAGACCUCGGAGCAAGGAAACCGCGGAGGAGGGCGGGGGAGAGCGGGAGCAGCAAAAGGACUUGUCCCAAGCCCCUCGGCUCCUUGCGAGUCUCCGCACCCACCGCAGCGCGUCCGCAGUGUCCGCGCCGCGGCGCUGAGGAUUCAGCCGCUGGGACCCCAUUUCUGAGGCCUCACUGGGGGAGCUAGCAGAGAUGGAAGUCUUAGAACCAGGGACUGCAGCAGACUGCGCCCCCCGGCACCACCGUUGCCCACUCUGCGCCAGGACUCCGGGGUCCCCUGUCGGGGAAAAGAGCCCUCCUCCCGCCGUCGAGCUCCACGUCAGCCCAUUCUAGCUCUUCUAUCCCCUUCCCACCACCUCCUCGGUUUAGCUAACCCAAGUCGGCCCGAAGCCAUGGACAGCGACAAUCCCCCGGCCCCCAGCUCUGCCCCCGGGCGCGGCGCAUUCCAGCACCUUGGACAGCGGCCGGAGCAUUCCAAUGGAGCUGCAUUCCAGGCUUCUGCCGGCGCCCACCGCCUGGGUCAGUCCCACCCUCCCCUCUGAAGGAGGUGGCCCCCGCUCCGCCUCUAACCCCAGAGCUGCCUCCUCUCCUCGCUGCUCCCUCCCCCGCCGCCCCCGGACCACAGCUUACCGGGGUUUGCUCCCCCAUCGCCGUCCUCGCAGUCCGUCAGGUUGUUUAGCAUGGUGGCGGCGCGGCCCCUGGUCCGGGGAUGGCUGCGCCGCCUCGCCUGCGCCCCUCUGCCUGCCUUCGCUGCUCUCUCGUUCGCUCUAGCUCGCUCUCGCUCUCCGCUCCACGGAGGAAGAAGCUGCAGUGCCCGCCCGCCCGGCGCACACACACACUCGCACACGGACACACGCUCACACCCGCGCGCGCCCCCUCUCAGCAGCGGCGCUGCUCACCUCAUCCCGUAUGCAGGAGGCGUGAGCCACUGGCGGGGUUUUGGGGGGGAGAGCGGGAGGGAGGGAGAAGAGAAGAUGAGGGGCGGGCAGAGCGCGACUAGUGGCCCCCUUGCAAGAAAACUGGGGGAUUGCGUGGGUGGGAUGUAGGGGGUGCUUCAGGGGACAGGGCCUCGCCUCCCUUAAGCAGACGCAGCUCCCCCCCACCCACUCUCCGGGCGGGGCCCGGCACGUGGGCAGGUGCCAUCCCGCGCCCUAAAAAUAACGGCAGGGAACUAGGUCGCGGCCGCAGGGAGGCGGCCCCGCAGCGGCUGCCCAACUGGGGGUCUGUGGUAACCCCCAGGGGGGAGAUAAAGGGCACUGAAGUGGCCAUGGAGGUGCGCCAUGGAAUAUGGGGCCCUUGGGAAGCCUCUCUGCAAGACUGGAGAGGCCAACCCCGAAGUUGGGGAGGAGAGCCAGACCCUCUUUCAUACCACUGUUUAAGAGAUUGGAGCUAGAGCCCAGGGCCCAUAACUAAAGCAAUGUGCUACCCCCAGGGGCAUUCAGGUCACUGGGCUGACUGACCCAACCUGUCUUAAAAUGGAGGGCGGUAGCGCCUGAGGAGUUACAAGGAACUCUCUCAUUGUGCUUAGACUGACAGGAGUCCUAGCAUCCCACUCCCAAGACAACUCCCUGGAGCCCACAGCCAGGGACCUUCUGACUGCAGACUGAUCUAGGGAUAAGACCUGGCCAAUCCUCCAAAAGCUUGAUCAUCCUGGGACCCCUCAGCACCCCUAGGGUCCAGGUUUGAGCCAGUGGUGCAGAUGUCUCAGGAAUUGGCAUCAGAGGUUUGCAAGCUUUCAGUCUCUGGAAGAUCUAAACAUCUGAGGGCGGGAGCUGAUCAAGGUAAACAAUUUUCAGACUCACACUAGCUCUCUCGCUCAUCCUCUAAAUUUCAGAAGAGUUCUAGGAUUGGGAAAGGAUCAGUCAUUGUAUCUUACACACAGCUUUCAUUUCACAGAUGAAAAAACUAAGGCCCAUAGAGGGAAAAUGACUGCUGUGGACAUAAUGCCAGGGAAUGGCAGAAUUUGGUCUAGCAUCCAGUUUGCCUCACUCCAGUUUAGGACUCAUGUCAUCAACAGAACUUAUAAAAUCUGUCUUGCCUCCAUAAAAGAGACAAGGGUGCAGUCAUACCCAAGCCCCUCAGCAGCUGCUGAUCAUUCGCUCCUGAAAAAAGAAAAUAAAAGAAACAGGGACUAGGUCUGAGAUGCGCUUUCUUCCUUUUCUUGUGCUCAGGCUUCAGAAGUGCAGGGCUAGAAUGGACUCUUGGCUUGCAACUGAAGGGGAAGCCUCCAGAAAACCUGCAAGGAUCCUAAAGAGCCAUUCAUAUACCUGGAGACCAGAAUACAGGACAGCACUUUUUCAGAACCAUGGACAGGACCCAGGUCUCCGCUUUACUUGUAUUGAUAAAUUUGUCAGUGGCUUCAGUUUGGGUCAACCGUGGAGUCUUCAGCAGCUGGCUCAAAGAUGCCUCUGAGGGACCUACCAACCAAGUAUCGCUGCCACUUGGUUUUUUGGAUACCCGAAGGACCCUUUAGGGUGAAGAGUUAGCUAUUCAGACAAGUUGUGGGCAUGGGUAUCCUUGGCUCUCCCAAAAAGAAAACCACCGAAAGGGUAAGACAAGUUUGGUGACAGAGGUUAAAAGAAUAGCAGAUGAGAAGGCCAGUGUUCAAAAUUUUUUAAGCAUUCCACUACACACACACACACACACACACACACACACACACACACCAGCAGUAGCAACAGCAGCAGCAGCAGCACUGUGGUCUACUACUCUGCAGAGAUGCAUAACACAGUAAAACACGUGUAGCAUGUUUUUCUGAGAAGUGCUGUGGAAUGAAUAUGCUGAGGUUUUUCAGCAAUCCCAAGUCUGCAUGUUCCCCUGGGGUUACUUUCCUUCAUCUGUGGUCCAGCUUUGGCCACUCAGGGACUGGACGCAUGUAUGAGGAUUCUAGGGAAUAUAGGUGAAGGCAGUAGUGAUUCCUCUUCUCCUGGGUAACCCAUCUGUCCACCUUCACUAGAGUUCCCAUCUCAAGGGCCAUCUGAGAUUCAAAAGAUAGUGGUUCUAUCGUAUCCUCUGCCCCCAAAUUCUCUGUGUAUUCCUGGGCAAAAUUGGACUUCUCUCUGUGGGCCUCAGUAUCCCAUCUGUAAAAGUGAGUUAGGUUGCAUAAUCCAUGGCGCGUCUUCCUGCUCUUAAAACUCUUAGUGCUCUCUCUACUAAUCUCAGACCAAAGCCACAUAUCCCUUCCUGAGGGGGCCAUACCAAGUGAACAAACAGUCCCAGGGGUAGAUCCCAGCCCCUUCAUUGACACUCUCACCUCUCAGGAAGACUGUGCCCUAUUUUGGCCUCCAGCUGACUCUCUGUGGUGAGGUUUAGAAACACAUGGCAGGAAUCUGCUACACUGCCAGCCUGGCACUGGCCAGGAAAAGGUGACCUGCAGCUCACAGCCCCAGGAAUCUGGCUGCCAGCACAGCAUCCCCUCCCCACCAAGAACCCUAGGGAGAUCUGGGGCCAGGGAAACCCUCUCAUUAAAGCAGCACAAGAUUC
Molecule: non-coding RNA, 3504 nt
Organism: Callithrix jacchus (white-tufted-ear marmoset)
Lineage: Eukaryota; Metazoa; Chordata; Mammalia; Primates; Cebidae
Source: RefSeq, a predicted model, not a curated record